UUAUAAGAGACAGCAGCAGCCGCGGGAAUACGAAGGGUGCAAGCGUUAAUCGGAAUUACUGGGCGUAAAGCGCGCGUAGGUGGUUCAUUAAGUCGGAUGUGAAAUCCCUGAGCUUAACUUAGGAAUUGCAUUCGAUACUGGGAAGCUAGAGUAUGGGAGAGGAUGGUAGAAUUCCAGGUGUAGCGGUGAAAUGCGUAGAGAUCUGGAGGAAUACCGAUGGCGAAGGCAGCCAUCUGGCCUAAUACUAACGCUGAGGUACGAAAGCAUGGGGAGCAAACAGGAUUAGAUACCCCAGUAGUCCCUGUCUCUUAUAC
This 314-nucleotide ribosomal RNA is filed under the name uncultured bacterium. RNAcentral's name for it is "partial 16S ribosomal RNA". It matches the Rfam family "Bacterial small subunit ribosomal RNA", at positions 499 to 807 of the family's 1533-position model. The record is from RNAcentral.